GAUGACAUUAAAAUAACGUGUGAUGUGAAUGGCACUGUUGAAGUCCAAAAUGGAGAAAAUGUGACAAUUCGCUGCACAUCAUUUCCAAACGCACAGUACAGAUGGACCAAGAAUGAUGAACUGUUGUCAGAGACUGAAUCUCUGGAGCUCCGGUGGGUGACUGAUGCUAAUGCAGGGGUUUAUACACUGAGUGUCAACACAGGAAGCAAAUCUGUGCGCAAAGAGUUUGUGGUCACAGUGCAACCACAAGUUUGAAGACAGGAUGGAUCUACCACCUCCUUUCAAUCUCCCUCCAGCUUUAGUCAAGUAUACAGCUGCAAGGUAGAGCAAGACUACAACAGAGCCUUUCCCCAUCUUUGACACAGAUUCAAAUAUGAAAUAUGUCAGCUGAAAAGUGAAGUAAUAGUAGGGAUGGGGUUUAAACCAUGUCUUCUCUUGUUACUAAUUAGAAACCAGUACAAACCAGAAGUUUUGCAACUGUAGCCCUGUCUAAAGGCAUUUUCAGGAUUUUUUUUGAAUGAGGUGACAAUUGUUGAUUUAUUUUUGUGUAUAUAGCUUUGCAGUUGUAGCUGUUGAUGAAUUACUUUUAAUUUUAAUAUAUUUCUCAGUACCUUGAGCUAUAAACCAACAAUUAAAUAAAAUACAAGUACAUAAAACCUGAGUAAAUAAUCCUGUAUAUGCUCUGAUCCAAUUUCCACAAUUGUUCUUUUUGUUUUUUUAAAUUAUAAUUUGUAUUUCUGAUUUACUAAGUUUUACAGACCAAUAAACCACAAAUGCUACAUUUCUGCAACAUA
This is a long non-coding RNA of Pundamilia nyererei, 794 nucleotides long. RefSeq lists it as uncharacterized. The transcript has 3 exons. NCBI's taxonomy places the organism in Eukaryota, Metazoa, Chordata, Actinopteri, Cichliformes, Cichlidae. The record is from RefSeq and is a predicted model, not a curated record.